GGGGGCGAUGAGAUUCGAUUCGGACCUGUGAGUUGCGAGGGGCAUGCCGAGGUGGUCAGGAGGCCUCGUUAAACACCUGACACAAUACCAAGUGCCAACUACAACCCUGUAGCAGAAGCGGAAGCAAUUCUGGCUUCUGGGCACCUCGUCGCUGCCUAAUUAAAUAGGCAGCGCCGUCGUCUCGUCAGCCUGCGGACGAGGCGGCGACAGUCGCAGGCUAGCUUGACGUUGUGCCACUGGGCGUCAGGUGACGGGACACAGUGGCUUAGCCCCGCCGGUCUCGCCUUGCAAGGCGGGCGGGGUGAAGCGUUCAAUGUAGGGCUACGCAUGUAGAGGGCUCACGCUCUCGAUCCGAAGACGUGGGUGCAACUCCCACCGCCUCCACUU
This 387-nucleotide transfer-messenger RNA is filed under the name Candidatus Omnitrophota. Its description in RNAcentral is "JACQHR01 sp016198905 Standard tmRNA". It matches the Rfam family "transfer-messenger RNA". Rfam says of the family: Bacterial tmRNA, also known as 10Sa RNA or SsrA, is named for its dual tRNA and mRNA-like properties. The record is from RNAcentral. Lineage: Bacteria; Pseudomonadati. RNAcentral also lists the same sequence under 1 other name.